AACGGAAAGGCCCUGCUUGCAGGGUACUCGAGUGGCGAACGGGUGAGUAACACGUGGGUGAUCUACCCUGCACUUCGGGAUAAGCUUGGGAAACUGGGUCUAAUACCGGAUAGGAGCCAUCUUUAGUGUGGUAGUUGGAAAGUUUUUUCGGUGUAGGAUGAGCUCGCGGCCUAUCAGCUUGUUGGUGGGGUAAUGGCCUACCAAGGCGGCGACGGGUAGCCGGCCUGAGAGGGUGUACGGCCACAUUGGGACUGAGAUACGGCCCAGACUCCUACGGGAGGCAGCAGUGGGGAAUAUUGCACAAUGGGCGCAAGCCUGAUGCAGCGACGCCGCGUGGGGGAUGAAGGCCUUCGGGUUGUAAACUCCUUUCGCUAGGGACGAAGCUUUUUUGUGACGGUACCUAGAUAAGAAGCACCGGCUAACUACGUGCCAGCAGCCGCGGUAAUACGUAGGGUGCGAGCGUUGUCCGGAAUUACUGGGCGUAAAGGGCUCGUAGGUGGUUUGUCGCGUCGUCUGUGAAAUUCUGGGGCUUAACUCCGGGCGUGCAGGCGAUACGGGCAUAACUUGAGUGCUGUAGGGGUAACUGGAAUUCCUGGUGUAGCGGUGAAAUGCGCAGAUAUCAGGAGGAACACCGAUGGCGAAGGCAGGUUACUGGGCAGUUACUGACGCUGAGGAGCGAAAGCAUGGGUAGCGAACAGGAUUAGAUACCCUGGU
Molecule: ribosomal RNA, 714 nt
Filed under: uncultured Corynebacterium sp.
Lineage: Bacteria; Bacillati; Actinomycetota; Actinomycetes; Mycobacteriales; Corynebacteriaceae
Description: bacterial SSU rRNA
Rfam family: Bacterial small subunit ribosomal RNA
Source: RNAcentral